This 145-nucleotide unclassified non-coding RNA is filed under the name soil metagenome. Its description in RNAcentral is "partial internal transcribed spacer 1". The record is from RNAcentral.
UAAUAAGUGUCUUAUGGCACUCUUUAAAUCCAUAUCCACCUUGUGUGCAAUGUCAGUCGAUCUUCUUCAUGGAGAUCGACCAAACAUCAACCUUUAUCUUUUAACUCUUUGUCUGAAAAAUAUUACGAAUAAACAAUUCAAAAUA